CGUAGGGGGCAAGCGUUGUCCGGAAUCAUUGGGCGUAAAGCGCGUGUAGGCGGUCCGGUAAGUCGGCUGUGAAAGUCCAGGGCUCAACCCUGGGAUGCCGGUCGAUACUGCCGGACUAGAGUUCGGAAGAGGCGAGUGGAAUUCCCGGUGUAGCGGUGAAAUGUGCAGAUAUCGGGAGGAACACCAAUGGCGAAGGCAGCUCGCUGGGACGUUACUGACGCUGAGACGCGAAAGCGUGGGGAGCAAACAGGAUUAGAUACCCUGGUAGUCCACGCCGUAAACGAUGGGCACUAGGUGUGGGAGGUGUCGACUCCUCCCGUGCCGGAGCUAACGCAUUAAGUGCCCCGCCUGGGGAGUACGGCCGCAAGGCUA
This 372-nucleotide ribosomal RNA is filed under the name uncultured organism. Its description in RNAcentral is "bacterial SSU rRNA". It matches the Rfam family "Bacterial small subunit ribosomal RNA", at positions 526 to 896 of the family's 1533-position model. The record is from RNAcentral.